Molecule: long non-coding RNA, 557 nt
Filed under: Cricetulus griseus (Chinese hamster)
Lineage: Eukaryota; Metazoa; Chordata; Mammalia; Rodentia; Cricetidae
Description: lncRNA (ENSCGRG00015031918.1)
Source: RNAcentral
CUACUCCCAGUGAGACAGUCCACGUCCUGAUGCCUGCAAGAUGUAGAACCCUCAGCUACGUCUCCAGCACCAUGACUGCCUGAAAACCUCCAUGUCCCACCAUGAUGAGAAUGGACUAAACCUCUGAAACUCUAUGAAAUCACCACUCUGGACACUGCUGACACCUGUAUGUGGAAAGAUCCGAUCGGUCCUGUGUCUCAGAAACUCAACAAGACAAUACCUUAGCGCUUGACACACAGUCGUUGCUCAGAUUCCAUGAGUUGGGCUCAGUGCUUAGCUGUGAAUCUCUGCUUCUGCUUCUGUCAGCUACUGGACUGGAACUGAAAGUUCACUCACUGCUCCCUACACUCUUGAAACCCAGCCUCUCUGGUUCCUGGAGCAGUUUCUCAAGUCUUUCUAGUUUCAUCGCCCUGCAGCAGCAGCCUAUCCACAGGAUGAACAGCACACACAUGUGGGUAUUCUCAUUUCAUGUGUAUGAGAGUGUAUGCCCAUGAACAUGCUCUGAGUGCUUGUCUGGUCCCCUCAGACACCAAGGAAGCACUGACUGCUGGAACUGG